This 406-nucleotide ribosomal RNA is filed under the name uncultured bacterium. Its description in RNAcentral is "partial 16S ribosomal RNA". It matches the Rfam family "Bacterial small subunit ribosomal RNA", at positions 30 to 526 of the family's 1533-position model. The record is from RNAcentral.
AUUGAACGCUGGCGGCAGGCCUAACACAUGCAAGUCGAACGAGUGGCGGACGGGUGAGUAAUGUCUGGGAAACUGCCCGAUGGAGGGGGAUAACUACUGGAAACGGUAGCUAAUACCGCAUACCAUCGGAUGUGCCCAGAUGGGCUUCGCUAGUAGGUGGGGUAACGGCUCACCUAGUCGAAGAUCCCUAGCGGGUCUGAGAGGAUGACCAGCCACACUGGAACUUAGACACGGUCCAGACUCCUACGUGAGGCAGCAGUGGGGAAUAUUGCACAAUGGGCGCAAGCCUGAUGCAGCCAUGCCGCGUGUAUGAAGAAGGCCUUCGGGUGGUAAAGUACUUUCAGCGAGGAGGCGUUACUCGCAGAAGAAGCACCGGCUAACUCCGUGCCAGCAGCCGCGGUAAUUC